RNAcentral lists this ribosomal RNA (468 nucleotides) under uncultured bacterium. Its description in RNAcentral is "partial 16S ribosomal RNA". It matches the Rfam family "Bacterial small subunit ribosomal RNA", at positions 28 to 507 of the family's 1533-position model. The record is from RNAcentral.
GACGAACGCUGGCGGCGUGCUUAACACAUGCAAGUCGAACGGAAAGGCCCUGCUCUUGUGGGGUGCUCGAGUGGCGAACGGGUGAGUAACACGUGAGUAACCUGCCCUUGACUUUGGGAUAACUUCAGGAAACUGGGGCUAAUACCGGAUAGGAGCUCCUGCUGCAUGGUGGGGGUUGGAAAGUUUCGGCGGUUGGGGAUGGACUCGCGGCUUAUCAGCUUGUUGGUGGGGUAGUGGCUUACCAAGGCUUUGACGGGUAGCCGGCCUGAGAGGGUGACCGGCCACAUUGGGACUGAGAUACGGCCCAGACUCCUACGGGAGGCAGCAGUGGGGAAUAUUGCACAAUGGGCGGAAGCCUGAUGCAGCAACGCCGCGUGCGGGAUGACGGCCUUCGGGUUGUAAACCGCUUUCGCCUGUGACGAAGCGCGAGUGACGGUAAUGGGUAAAGAAGCACCGGCUAACUACGUG